Molecule: ribosomal RNA, 232 nt
Filed under: uncultured bacterium
Lineage: Bacteria
Description: partial 16S ribosomal RNA
Rfam family: Bacterial small subunit ribosomal RNA
Source: RNAcentral
UACAGAGGUGGCAAGCGUUGUUCGGAAUUACUGGGCGUAAAGGGCGCGUAGGUGGCCUUCUUAGUCAGACGUGAAAUCCCUGGGCUUAACUCAGGAACUGCGUCUGAUACUGGAAGGCUCGAGUUCGGGAGAGGAAUGUGGAAGUUCCAGGUGUAGUCGGUGAAAUGACGUAGAUAUCUGGAGGAACACCGGUGGCGAAGGCGGCAUUCUGGACCGAAACUGACCACUGAGG